GACGAACGCUGGCGGCGUGCUUAACACAUGCAAGUCGAACGGAAAGGCCCUGCUUGCAGGGUACUCGAGUGGCGAACGGGUGAGUAACACGUGGGUGAUCUGCCCUGCACUUCGGGAUAAGCCUGGGAAACUGGGUCUAAUACCGGAUAGGAGCCAUUUUUAGUGUGAUGGUUGGAAAGUUUUUUCGGUGUAGGAUGAGCUCGCGGCCUAUCAGCUUGUUGGUGGGGUAAUGGCCUACCAAGGCGGCGACGGGUAGCCGGCCUGAGAGGGUGGACGGCCACAUUGGGACUGAGAGACGGCACAGACUCCGACGGGAGGCAGCAGUGGGGAAUAUUGCACAAUGGGCGCAAGCCUGAUGCAGCGACGCCGCGUGGGGGAUGACGGCCUUCGGGUUGUAAACUCCUUUCGCUAGGGACGAAGCUUUUUGUGACGGUACCUAGAGAAGAAGCACCGGCUAACUACGUG
RNAcentral lists this ribosomal RNA (465 nucleotides) under uncultured bacterium. RNAcentral describes it as "partial 16S ribosomal RNA". It matches the Rfam family "Bacterial small subunit ribosomal RNA", at positions 28 to 507 of the family's 1533-position model. The record is from RNAcentral.